RNAcentral lists this ribosomal RNA (83 nucleotides) under Acetobacteroides hydrogenigenes. The record is from RNAcentral. Lineage: Bacteria; Pseudomonadati; Bacteroidota; Bacteroidia; Bacteroidales; Rikenellaceae.
CUUCCCAUUCCGAACAGGGCCGUUAAGCCCGCCAGCGCCGAUGGUACUGCUACACCAAGCGGGAGAGUAGGUGGCCGCCAAAC